CUUGGCUCAAAGCCACUAUUGUCUGUAAAAGGUAAAAUUACCCUGCUGACACUACAUAUGGCUUGCACCCAGAGAGAGAAUAAAGCCAUGUCGAAACCGCCUACUCGAGUGUUUUUCCAGUUACCUGCCACCCACCCACCAACUCCCCUUGGACUUUAGUUUGGGCUAGAACCUGACAAUUGGCAUCACGAACAGGAUCCUAAGCGGCUGCAAGUGAGCAGGUGGUUAGUGGCAGCGCAAGGAGACCACACCCUGACUGAGUGGCUACAGGCAGCCAUAUGAACUGUGUGGAAUAAUGCUGGUGAAAUGCCCAAAACUAUUUAGAAGCAGUGGCACCCCUCUUGUGGCAACAUUUGGCAGCAUGCAGUUGGGCCAUCAACAAAUCCAAGGUCCGAGGGCCUGGAUUACCUGCUAAAUUCUUGGGAGUUAUCUGGUCGGGGCUGAAGUUCCAGGCUGGACCUGAUGCUCCAAACCUUGAAUGAAUGGCCAUGGAAAAGCAGCCCAGCCCAGGUGGAGGCUUUGUUACAUGGGCCACCACCCCUAUUCAGUUGCAGAUACACACCAAGGGUAACCGCCUCUGACCAGGGACACCAUGAUCAACCAGCCAAUGCCAAAGACCUCUGGGGGUCAGACUAUUCUGAGGACUGCUUUGGCUCCACCGUCCACAGUGGCAACCACACCCACUUGGUCUUUUAUGCGGGACAUGGAUGAAGCUGGAAACCAUCAUUCUCAGCAAACUAUCACAAGGACAAAAAACCAAACACCCCAUGUUCUCACUCAUAGGUGGGAAUUGAACAAUAAGAACACAUGGACACAGGAAG
Molecule: long non-coding RNA, 821 nt
Filed under: Homo sapiens (human)
Lineage: Eukaryota; Metazoa; Chordata; Mammalia; Primates; Hominidae
Description: PREDICTED lncRNA (TCONS_00192059)
Source: RNAcentral